Molecule: non-coding RNA, 90 nt
Organism: Acanthosepion pharaonis
Lineage: Eukaryota; Metazoa; Mollusca; Cephalopoda; Sepiida; Sepiidae
Source: the annotation of a GenBank genome assembly
CCAUAUCACGUAAGAUCACCGAAGUUAGGCAACGUCGAGCCCAGUCAGUACCAAGAUGGGUGGCCGGUUGGGAAUACCAGGUGCUGUAAG